AUCUGUGUCAAAGAGAUCAGAAAUUGCAAGUCAGUAGCAGUGAUCAAGACGAAGAUAUAUAAAAAACGGAUGAAGAUGAAUUUAAUGUUUAAUCUGUACCUUGGAGUUUGCAGAGGAUCUUGCGGAUCUUCUUGUAGCAUGGGCGGCAAUCCAGAUCAACCGUUAGGAUUAGCACAAAGCUCUGCAUGUUGACACAGCAGAAUUAGUAAAGAACUUAAAUGAGUGGUCAUCGGCAGCAGACUUAACUAGGCGCCGUCUAGAACACAUGGCAACACUUCAUCCUUCUGGAGACAGCUAGUUCAUUUGGAAAGGAGAAAGUUUGAUGUUGCCUGUCAGUGUGUUUCCGUGUUAAGCAUUCCCAUGAAAGUGGCUAAGUAAGGGUGAGGCCAUGGAAUCAGGUUCUUUCUUGCACUGACUAUGCAUGGCAAUUUAUAAGAAAUCAAGAAGCUUUUGGAUCUUGAUGCUAAAUUUAAAGUAUUGAUCCUUUGAGAAAGUAGACAACACAUGCAUGCGUGGGGAUUCUGGAGAAACAAGUCCCUUUUCGCUUUGCAGCAAGGCAAAAGCAGAGAGCAUCAUAGUAGGUUUUUUAUUGCUAGGCUAGAGUUGACGAUUAUUCACAGUUCCGGACUUGGUCAGAAUUGCAUUUUGGUACCGUACAGUUUCAAAUUCAUGUUCCUUGGUUAUGAAAAUAAGCAGUCAUUUGCUUUCA
Molecule: long non-coding RNA, 709 nt
Organism: Brachypodium distachyon (stiff brome)
Lineage: Eukaryota; Viridiplantae; Streptophyta; Magnoliopsida; Poales; Poaceae
Exons: 2
Source: RefSeq, a predicted model, not a curated record